Molecule: ribosomal RNA, 460 nt
Filed under: uncultured bacterium
Lineage: Bacteria
Description: partial 16S ribosomal RNA
Rfam family: Bacterial small subunit ribosomal RNA
Source: RNAcentral
CCUACGGGAGGCAGCAGUGAGGAAUAUUGGUCAAUGGACGAGAGUCUGAACCAGCCAAGUAGCGUGAAGGAUGACUGCCCUAUGGGUUGUAAACUUCUUUUAUAAAGGAAUAAAACGAGGCACGUGUGCCGUUUUGCAUGUACUUUAUGAAUAAGGAUCGGCUAACUCCGUGCCAGCAGCCGCGGUAAUACGGAGGAUACGAGCGUUAUCCGGAUUUAUUGGGUUUAAAGGGAGCGUAGAUGGGUUGUUAAGUCAGUUGUGAAAGUUUGCGGCUCAACCGUAAAAUUGCAAUUGAUACUGGCAGUCUUGAGUACAGUUGAGGUAGGCGGAAUUCGUGGUGUAGCGGUGAAAUGCUUAGAUAUCACGAAGAACCCCGAUUGCGAAGGCAGCUUACUAAACUGUGACUGACAUUGAUGCUCGAAAGUGUGGGUAUCAAACAGGAUUAGAUACCCCUGUAGUC